This 510-nucleotide long non-coding RNA is filed under the name Bos indicus x Bos taurus (hybrid cattle). Its description in RNAcentral is "lncRNA (ENSBIXG00000011633.1)". Lineage: Eukaryota; Metazoa; Chordata; Mammalia; Artiodactyla; Bovidae. The record is from RNAcentral.
UAUACUCACUAGCCAGGACACAUCAUAAGACAAGAAAGAGAAAAUCUGAAACCUGUCAUGGAUUAUUUGGCUAAGGCGUAUCAACUGCCACAACAACGGGUAUAGAAGAAAGGAAGCGUGAUGGAAGGAAAGGACUGGAUGAAUCAGAAAUCUGCAUUAGGGGAAAAUGCUGGUCUAACCUCGGUUUUGUUGUAAUACUUGCCAUUCUUUCCUUUUUGACAAGUAUAAAGGUAAUUAUUGUUCUGGUGCCUAUACAAGAACUAUUUAGCUUAUCAUUGUCUUGACUCAUUCAACACAUGUUUCUAAUCUCUGUUACCACCGAAGUCCUCAGUUGAAUUUCUAUGAUUUUACAAUUUUGCAUAUGUGCUGUAGUCUAGAAAUCCCAAGAAGAAAAAUAUAGGAGAUGUGUGAAUUUCUUCAGAAAAACAUUUAGAAAUAAGAACCUCAACAUUAAUAUUUAUUUUUCACUAAACUAAACAUGAAUCUAGAUUUAGGGAUGGUUCACAGCUC